Molecule: ribosomal RNA, 1421 nt
Filed under: Lactobacillus sp. 14.8.15
Lineage: Bacteria; Bacillati; Bacillota; Bacilli; Lactobacillales; Lactobacillaceae
Description: bacterial SSU rRNA
Rfam family: Bacterial small subunit ribosomal RNA
Source: RNAcentral
ACGAACUCUGGUAUUGAUUGGUGCUUGCAUCAUGAUUUACAUUUGAGUGAGUGGCGAACUGGUGAGUAACACGUGGGAAACCUGCCCAGAAGCGGGGGAUAACACCUGGAAACAGAUGCUAAUACCGCAUAACAACUUGGACCGCAUGGUCCGAGUUUGAAAGAUGGCUUCGGCUAUCACUUUUGGAUGGUCCCGCGGCGUAUUAGCUAGAUGGUGGGGUAACGGCUCACCAUGGCAAUGAUACGUAGCCGACCUGAGAGGGUAAUCGGCCACAUUGGGACUGAGACACGGCCCAAACUCCUACGGGAGGCAGCAGUAGGGAAUCUUCCACAAUGGACGAAAGUCUGAUGGAGCAACGCCGCGUGAGUGAAGAAGGGUUUCGGCUCGUAAAACUCUGUUGUUAAAGAAGAACAUAUCUGAGAGUAACUGUUCAGGUAUUGACGGUAUUUAACCAGAAAGCCACGGCUAACUACGUGCCAGCAGCCGCGGUAAUACGUAGGUGGCAAGCGUUGUCCGGAUUUAUUGGGCGUAAAGCGAGCGCAGGCGGUUUUUUAAGUCUGAUGUGAAAGCCUUCGGCUCAACCGAAGAAGUGCAUCGGAAACUGGGAAACUUGAGUGCAGAAGAGGACAGUGGAACUCCAUGUGUAGCGGUGAAAUGCGUAGAUAUAUGGAAGAACACCAGUGGCGAAGGCGGCUGUCUGGUCUGUAACUGACGCUGAGGCUCGAAAGUAUGGGUAGCAAACAGGAUUAGAUACCCUGGUAGUCCAUACCGUAAACGAUGAAUGCUAAGUGUUGGAGGGUUUCCGCCCUUCAGUGCUGCAGCUAACGCAUUAAGCAUUCCGCCUGGGGAGUACGGGCCGCAAGGCUGAAACUCAAAGGAAUUUGACGGGGGSCCGCACAAGCGGUGGAGCAUGUGGUUUAAUUCGAAGCUACGCGAAGAACCUUACCAGGUCUUGACAUACUAUGCAAAUCUAAGAGAUUAGACGUUCCCUUCGGGGACAUGGAUACAGGUGGUGCAUGGUUGUCGUCAGCUCGUGUCGUGAGAUGUUGGGUUAAGUCCCGCAACGAGCGCAACCCUUAUUAUCAGUUGCCAGCAUUAAGUUGGGCACUCUGGUGAGACUGCCGGUGACAAACCGGAGGAAGGUGGGGAUGACGUCAAAUCAUCAUGCCCCUUAUGACCUGGGCUACACACGUGCUACAAUGGAUGGUACAACGAGUUGCGAACUCGCGAGAGUAAGCUAAUCUCUUAAAGCCAUUCUCAGUUCGGAUUGUAGGCUGCAACUCGCCUACAUGAAGUCGGAAUCGCUAGUAAUCGCGGAUCAGCAUGCCGCGGUGAAUACGUUCCCGGGCCUUGUACACACCGCCCGUCACACCAUGAGAGUUUGUAACACCCAAAGUCGGUGGGGUAACCUUUUAGGAACC